Molecule: ribosomal RNA, 253 nt
Filed under: uncultured bacterium
Lineage: Bacteria
Description: partial 16S ribosomal RNA
Rfam family: Bacterial small subunit ribosomal RNA
Source: RNAcentral
UACGAAGGGGGCUAGCGUUGUUCGGAAUUACUGGGCGUAAAGCGCACGUAGGCGGAUAUUUAAGUCAGGGGUGAAAUCCCGGGGCUCAACCUCGGAACUGCCUUUGAUACUGGGUAUCUUGAGUAUGGAAGAGGUAAGUGGAAUUGCGAGUGUAGAGGUGAAAUUCGUAGAUAUUCGCAGGAACACCAGUGGCGAAGGCGGCUUACUGGUCCAUUACUGACGCUGAGGUGCGAAAGCGUGGGGAGCAAACAGG